Culex pipiens pallens (northern house mosquito) is the source of this 1154-nucleotide long non-coding RNA. RefSeq lists it as uncharacterized. Lineage: Eukaryota; Metazoa; Arthropoda; Insecta; Diptera; Culicidae. The transcript is spliced from 2 exons. The record is from RefSeq and is a predicted model, not a curated record.
GCUCACUAGCGACAUCUAUGAGUCAAUUUUGUUUUGUUGAAACAGUGCUGCCAUCUAUUGUAAUUUUUUAUAAUUUCUUUCAGCAUUAAAUUUUAUUAGGAAAAUGUUUUUUUAUUGUUUUAAAUUAAUAUUUACAGUUCAAAGUAAAAUGUAAUCCUUAGUAAAUCACAUGCUUUGAGUAUUGCGCUGUUCGGUUUAAACCGAGGGGCGUGACAAUGGCCUUAAUAAAUUAAUUUUGGCAUUUAAUAUAUUAAGGAAUUAAAUUCCUCUUGCCAUUUGACAUUUUACAGAACCACACCUGCUUUAUUGAAAACGUUGGUUUGCUUUGUGUCUCUUUCGCGCUCGACUGUCAAGUUUGUUUUGAUUUAAUUUUGUGAUGCAGCAAGCUGCAACGCAGGAAAAGUUUAUGGAGCAGCACCGGAAAAGGACAAACUGCCGGAGAGCAUCGGAACAUCCAACGCCAUCGAAUUCCACCGCAAGUGGAAACUUGUUCAUCUCAGCUGGACAGAUUGUUCCGCUAAGCAUCGUUCUCGCAUGGUUUUAAUUGGUUCGUCGCACCGCUGUUGGAAGUGUUGCAUUCCUCUUGAAGGACUGCUUCCUCCAAACGGGAUGUUGUUGCUGUGGGUGCCGCGGCCGUUCAACAUGCGUCGGGACAAUGUCGAUGGGUGAUCGAUGUUCCGCUGGUCAAAGGCUGGUGCUAGGAGUACUGCUCGUCGGGAAAUCAGUUGAAAUCUGUGCUUGAGCUUAAGCUUCUUCUUGGUUACGUGCUGAACGCGUUCAAAUACCGCAAGCCGCAGGUGCAGAAGAAGCAGUACCAGUUCCGUUCGCUCAGCGCGACUCAGUUCUUCCAAGCAUCGACUCUGCCUGGUAUAAUUUGCUUAACCUGAACAGUUUUCAUUUGGAUCGCGAUUUUAAUGUAAAACUAAUAAAGACGUUUACUAAAAAGGAUUGUGAGGUGCGAUUCGUAGAUGCUUGUGCCGGGGAAUUGUGCUUUUAUUCAAGUUGUGAAAUAAAAUAAAUAUAAAUAAAAAAUCUAUUCUAACAUGAUAGCGAGAACAUCACUUAAACAAAAAUUUUGUAUAUUUAUUAUUAUUUUUUCAUUAAGCAUAUUUUUAAAAUAAAGGGCAAGUACUUGUACUUCGACUGACAUCAUA